AUAAUGCAGUCGGUGUCCGUUCUUCGAGGGAACGUUCUCGUUUUAGAGCGGUUAACGAUAUAUCGGUGCUUUCGGCUCGCGUAAUCGUUAUUGGAUCAUAAACGUGCACCGGCGAAAGGAAUAUGCAUGGCGUUCCUGGACUGUUCGGUUAAACUUUACUAGUGUACUCUACUAAUCACUUUGAUGAAAGGUUGUCGUGCAAAUGUAGGUCUGCGAAUAUGUCGCUCCAGCUGACGGACAUUGAAAAUUGCACGUUGGUGGACACGUUCCAGCAUUCGAUGGAACUGUUAAUCUGAAUUUUAUUUGACGUUUCUGGGAUACCGUGACUGGACGUGAACAAUAAUGCUUAGACAGGGAAGAAACGAGGGUAAUACAUUAGCAAACGAUGUAUUUAAGUGUCUCUACUUCGAAUACUUUCCGAGGUACACUUGGCAUCUUUACGAGAGUGAAUGUAGAAGGUUUCCUAAUAAUAGUAAUGUUUAGACGUGUACACUAAAAUGUAUCUUGAAAGGCAGUGAUACACUGAAAGAAAAUGUAGAAAAAUAUCGAUUCCUUGCCGGAACAACUCGUGCCACAAGUGGAUUCAUGAGCCCUUUGUUAGACCCCGCACGGAAAUUACAUGCUCCAGCUUACUGUAAUCAUUAAUGCUGGGAAUGGAGGAGGAGAGAAAAGGCAAGAGUUCGCGAGUUUCGAUUGGAAUCUCGUAUUAGCGAAUAACUUUCGGGGGCGUCGCCACAACACAGAGCGUCCCUAAACUGUUUGACGAAAGUUUCCUAGGGUUCUCUACUAAUUGAUGGGUCCGGUCCGGGAGCCAGGUAUCUCCAUAUUACAAUGACAAUCGAUUAAGUGCGUAGGAAUACCUCAUUAAUUCUUGUAAUACACAAAAUCAGUCUAAAAAUAUAUAGUAUAGUUAGUAAGUUAUGCAUUGACAAUAAAAGGUCAUCCAGAAGAGGCUCCAAGAUUUGUUUUUUUAAUAACAUCCUUCAUGUUUGAUUGUAAUCACGAGUAGGUACUUUUAUUUUAAAUAAAGGAAUUGGAAAUAUAUUCCAUACCAUUUCUGGUUCAUUAAACAACAGAAUCGUGUCAAUAAUAAAAAAAAGGCGUCAUUUUCAAAAUUUUAAAAGAGAUCAAUUUACUUCCGCGAACCAAGUUGAUCGCCAUUUAGUCGUCGACUAAUUUCUUUCCAAAUUGUCGUCACCUAUUGAUGAUUGAUUCAUCCUGAUUUCUCUUCAAUCUCAUCCCCUUGUGUAUUUCCAACUAAUUAAAUAAUAAAUCCUAGCGAUCCUUAACUGGCAAAAAUCAACAAUUUUUAUCAUCAAACAUACUCCAACAACGUCACGCCUAGUAACAUACAUCCUGCCCUUCCAAUAUAUAUGAAGCUAUCAAUGAUUAGGUGUCGAACCAGCGGAAAUUUCAUUUAAACGACCCCGUAGCGUUAACCAAAAUUUACGUUCGAGCUGUCCCAACCCUGCUCCCAGCGGCGUGGCGCAUUAGAUCUCCUUGAAGCUUCAGCCUCGAAUAAUUUAUAGACCGCGCGCUGGAACAUAGUCCUCGGGAGCCGCCAUUGGCUCCGCGAGCGGGCCACGAAACGUAUUGUUCCAGGAUCGUGUUGCCGGCCGUGUACGUACAUUUAUUCAAAUAUAUCGGUUACGUCGCGUACGAGGACCUUACAGAAACGUGCCAACGUAGAACGUCACAGGAAGCAGGUCGUUAAUCUGCGGCUACGAUCUCAUUUCCACUAAUUGGCUGAUAGGGACGCCCGAUACGGACGAUACCGGGGUACGUACGCGGACACACGUGCAACCACAAAGACCCACGUCGGGGGAAAGGCUGCGGAAUAAAAAAAAAAAGAAAGCAAGACCGCACUUACGUACGCGCGCGUGCUGCACGAGAUUUUCAGGGGGCUAAAGAGCUCGUUCAUUCGUUGAUUCCGUGGGUGGCAAGGGAUUCAUCGGUUUUGGGAGCAUGGUAAUCGAUUUGAGGGAUGACAGGACCUGAAAGGGUAAAAAGUGACUGAUUCAGGGGAUUUUUCUAUGAUGAAAUUGGAGUAAAAUAGGUUUAUGGUUUCUAGUGGAUGGUUGAGGGAGAUGUUGGCGUGGGAUUAGGUGUUUCGUCGGUAAUAUUGAGUAUGCUGUCACUAAAACAGAGGAUAUUGUCGAUAAAAGAGAGAAGAUUGUUGUUAAAACAGUGUACAUUACUGGUAAACCAAAUCUAGCUGUUGGUAAAGUAGAUAACACUGUUGAUAAGUCAAAGCGUCCUGUUUUAACGACAGUGGAGUCUGUUUUACCCAUAAAAUAUCUUCUCGUUUACCUGUACCUGCCUCAUUUAAGUUCCAAAAACCUAGCUGUACCCUUCGAAAACUCUCUUUACUUCUACGAAAAGUGUCUCCUAAAUAAAUUAAAGAUACAUGUUGCGAAUACAUAUAAAAAUAUAUGAGCCUUCUAUUUAUCACAACAAUCACUCUCUUUACUCUUACUCAUUUCAACAAAUAUUUAUUACUGCGCGUGCGUAGCCAUACACGGUAAUACGUGCAAUAGUCAUAAAGACAGGGGAGAGGCUGAUUAAAAAAAAAAAAGAAAAAAAUGCGAGAGUGCACUCGCGUACGCGCGUGCUGCACGAGAUUUUCAGAGGGUUAAAGAGCCCUCUUCUCGAGCUCGUCUCCCGACGUGCUCGGCCCUUGAUCGUCGACUUGUUCAGCCCUCGCUAUGCCUAUCGCUCCGUUUCCUUUUUUCUCCCCUCUUGCCUUCGUACGACGACGCCUUCCGUCCGUGAAUUUCUGCGUUUUCCCCUCUCGCGACGUUGCUCAAGCAUGGAGCAGCGACAUACGAGAGAAUUACACGCGGAGGAAAUACGCGGGGGGAACGAUACGUUGAGAGGGCAAGGGAGAACGAUGGAGGGAGUGGUUAACAUGGAGUUAAUCCAAACAAUAGGUGUGUAUAAUCCAGCCCAGGAUACAUAGAUGUACAAAUACACGUUCAUCUUUGAAGGGGAGGAGUGGAACUAAAGUUUCGCAUUGGAAAUAUUUAAUAAUAAUUUGAAAUGUUUUAAACAAUUUGUUGUUUCAUUUUGGUAUAUUUUCUGUAAAUUCAUAACACAACUAUGACUUUUUCUGUUAAUUUCUAAAGCUGAAAGGUUGGUCAAUUAUUUUGAAAUUGUUUUAGAUUUUUCACGAAUGCUUAUAGGCUACUCGUUAUGCGUCUGUGUUUAUUUUGAAUUCUUUCGAUUUGAGAGUUAUACCAAUAUCAAUAUAAUUUUGAAAAACACAAUUAUUCUAAAUGAUCAUAAAAUGAAAUGAUAUAUUCUACGCCAUAAUGUUUCAAAUACUAUUAUUUAAAAAGUGAUCACAGCUAUGGAAAUAAUUAUGAAAUAAAAUUACGUUAGUGCAGACUUUUGCUCAACCCCCAUUUCUGUUUCAUAUUAUUCGUUCUGCUAUUUCGUGCGUCGAUUAAAACGAAUCUGGACUUUCUAAACGGAGUGUCUUUCAUCCAGAAAAUCGCAUUUACGUGACAACUGUAUGCAUCGUUAGCGGUGAAAGGUUACGCGGAUACGCGUUGGCACGCCAAGGUUUAAGCUUUCAGCUAACCACCCGCGAUUUCGCUUUUACGACUAGCAUCAUCGUCGAUAAG
Molecule: long non-coding RNA, 3626 nt
Organism: Hylaeus volcanicus
Lineage: Eukaryota; Metazoa; Arthropoda; Insecta; Hymenoptera; Colletidae
Exons: 4
Source: RefSeq, a predicted model, not a curated record